RNAcentral lists this ribosomal RNA (434 nucleotides) under uncultured bacterium. Its description in RNAcentral is "partial 16S ribosomal RNA". It matches the Rfam family "Bacterial small subunit ribosomal RNA", at positions 29 to 507 of the family's 1533-position model. The record is from RNAcentral.
AGCGAACGCUGGCGGCAGGCCUAACACAUGCAAGUCGAACGAACCUUUCGGGGUUAGUGGCGGACGGGUGAGUAACACGUGGGAACGUGCCCUUAGGUUCGGAAUAACUCAGGGAAACUUGUGCUAAUACCGAUUGUGCUCUUCGGGGGAAAGAUUAAUCGCUUUUAGAGCGGCCCGCGUCUGAUUAGCUAGUUGGUUGAGGUAAUGGCUCACCAAGGCGACGAUCAGUAGCUGGUCUGUGAGGAGGCUAAGCCACAUUGGGACUGAGACACGGCCCAAACUCCUACGGGGGACAGCAGUGGGGAAUAUUACGCAAUGGGCGAAAGCCUAGCAAAGCCAUGCCGCGUGAAUGAUCAAGGGGUUAGGAUUGUAAAAUUCUUUCACCGGGGACGAUAAUGACGGUAAUCGGAGAAGAAGCCCCGGCUAACUUCGUG